UUGGAGGGCAAGUCUGGUGCCAGCAGCCGCGGUAAUUCCAGCUCCAAUAGCGUAUAUUAAAGUUGUUGCAGUUAAAAAGCUCGUAGUUGAAUUUCGGGAUCAGUACGCUGGUCAUGCCUUUGGUAUGCACUGGUGUCACUGGUUUCUCCCUUCUGAAGAUCCGUGAUGUCAUUAAUUUGGUGUCGCGGGAAAUCAGGACUGUUACUUUGAAAAAAUUAGAGUGUUUAAAGCAGGCUCACGCCUGAAUACAUUAGCAUGGAAUAAUGAAAUAGGACGUUUGACCCUAUUUUGUUGGUUUCUAGGAUUGACGUAAUGAUUAAUAGGGAUAGUUGGGGGCAUUAGUAUUCAAUUGUCAGAGGUGAAAUUCUUGGAUUUAUUGAAGACUAACUACUGCGAAAGCAUUUGCCAAGGAUGUUUUCAUUAAUCAAGAACGAAAGUUAGGGGAUCGAAGACGAUCAGAUACCGUCGUAGUCUUAACCAUAAACUAUGCCGACUAGGGAUCGGAUGAUGUUAAUUUUAUAAUGACUCAUUCGACGCCUUACGGGAAACCAAAGUGUUUGGGUUC
RNAcentral lists this ribosomal RNA (565 nucleotides) under uncultured Glomeromycotina. RNAcentral's name for it is "SSU rRNA". It matches the Rfam family "Eukaryotic small subunit ribosomal RNA", at positions 548 to 1114 of the family's 1831-position model. The record is from RNAcentral. Lineage: Eukaryota; Fungi; Glomeromycota.